Molecule: ribosomal RNA, 743 nt
Filed under: uncultured bacterium
Lineage: Bacteria
Description: bacterial SSU rRNA
Rfam family: Bacterial small subunit ribosomal RNA
Source: RNAcentral
AGGCAGGCGGGAAUUCUUAGUGUAGCGGUGAAAUGCGUAGAUAUUAGGAAGGAGCACCAAGUGGCGAAGGCGGCCUGCUGGGCUUUUACUGACGCUGAGGCUCGAAAAGUGUGGGGAGCAAACAGGAUAAGAUUUCCUUGGUAGUCCACACCGUAAACGAUGAUUAUUAGGUGUGGGGGGGUGUGACCCCUUCCGUGCCGGAGUUAACACAAUAAGUAAUCCACCUGGGGAGUACGGCCGCAAGGUUGAAACUCAAAAGAAUUGACGGGGGCCCGCACAAGCAGUGGAGUAUGUGGUUUAAUUUGAAGCAACGCGAAGAACCUUACCAGGUCUUGACAUCGUGCGCAUAGCUCAGAGAUGAGUGAAGCCCUUCGGGGCGCAUAGACAGGUGAUGCAUGGUUGUCGUCAGCUCGUGUCGUGAGAUGUUGGGUUAAGUCCCGCAACGAGCGCAACCCUUGUAUUUAGUUGUUACGCAAGAGCACUCUAGAUAGACUGCCGUUGACAAAACGGAGGAAGGUGGGGAGGACGUCAAAUCAUCAUGCCCCUUACGACCUGGGCCACACACGUACUACAAUGGCGUGCAACAGAGGGAAGCAAAACAGCGAUGUGGAGCAAACCCCUAAAACGCGUCCCAGUUCAGAUUGCAGGCUGCAACCCGCCUGCAUGAAGUCGGAAUUGCUAGUAAUCGCGGAUCAGCAUGCCGCGGUGAAUACGUUCCCGGGCCUUGUACACACCGCCCGUCA